CAAGCAAACCUCAGUCACAGUGGCGAGUACCACUGCACGGGAUUUAUCGGGCAGACAGUUCACUCAUCACAGCCUGUGACCAUCACUGUCCAAGGUCCGGCAAUUCUAUUCAUCUUUCCACCUUGGUAUCAAAUCACUUUCUGCCUGGUGAUGGCGCUCCUUUUUGCAGUGGAUACAGAGCUGUAUUUUUCUGUGCAGAGAGACCUUCAAAGCUCAGCGGGAGACUGGAAGAACUGCAAAGUCGGAUGGAGUCAAGGCCCUCAGGAUAAAUGACCCCUCAUCCCACGCGUAACAGCAGUGGCAGCAGCAUCUCUUCAGGCCAUAACUUUCCUCUUCCCCUGGCCCCACCUUGACAGCAACGUGGGCUAAGGAGCCUCCAGGGAAAGAAAAGGCCUGUGAUCUCCAGAGCUAAAAUCCUAAUAGGCCCUACCUUCACUGAUUUCCCUAAGGCCAAGGCACAGUCACAGCCCACCCAGCUCUACAAGGACUCAGAGCAAAUGUGUUUUCACAGAUCCUUGACAGAGGUUCCUCAAAUAUAUGAAAUCUCAGGAAAUCCUGCUUCUACUUUCAAAAUAAAUCCAACAAUCCUACCACUUCUCAGUACUCUACUACUAGCAUCUUGGUCCAAGCCACCAUCAUCUCACUUGAAAUACUGCAGUAGCCUCCUGACUGCUCUCCCUGCACUCACCCAUGACACCUGACAGUCCAUUCUCACCAUAACAGCCAAUGUGUGUUGUAUCUGUCACGUCUUUUCUUGAAGCCGUGCAAUAGCUUCCCUCUUGCAUUCAAAGUAACAGCUAAAGCCUUUGUAAUGUUCUACAAGGCACUACAUUAUCUUGUUCCUCAAUGCCUCUCUAACCUCAUCUACUGCUCUCCCUUUGCUUCCUUGAACUCUUCAAUUAUACUUCUGCUACAGGUUUAUAUGUUAUUUACUGUUUCUGAAAUGUUCAUUCUUACAGAUGUCUACAUCAUGCUUCAUCAUGGUCUUUACUCAAAUAUCAUGUUAUCAGUGAGGUCUCCUUGAUCAUUCGGUAUAACCCCACUCCUCCACCAUCUCCUAAUCCCGCUCUCCUGUAUUUUCCCCAUUGUACUCAUCACCAACUGGAGUACCAUAUGUUCACUUAUUUAAUUGUUUACUGCUGUAUUCUCCCCUAUUGUAUGUAUCACCAACUGACUACCCCCUCUCCCGUUAGAAUAUGCCCCAGGAGAGCAGGGCCUUUGUCUGUUUUGUCCACUACCAUAUACUUAGAGUCAAGGUCAAUGUCUGGCACUUGAUAAAGCACUCAAUACAUAUUUGUGGAAUGAGUAAAUUCUUUAGCAUUUGAAAUUAGAGACAUUUUUAGGUACAUCUACUCCAUCUUCCCAGAAGCAGAGGUCCAAUUCAAUACUAUUGAACACCCUAUUAGAUACUACCCAAUACAUACCACUAGUACAUACAUUUCAGCUUUGAAUAUAUUUGCCUAAACUCAGUAUUAUUUACUUUCACCCAUCACAUCUUUUAAAGUAGUAUAUCAGUUGGACCUACUCCCCUUUAAUUGAAUUGACUUCCUAAGCCUGUAGAGUAGCAUUGUGAAAAGCAUACUGAAAAGAGAGCCAAACAACCUGGAUUUGUGUUUCAUUUCUACAUUUGCUAGCUGGUUUGUCUUGAAGAAUUCAUUCAACUAUUUUCUGAAUUAGAUUCUUCUUCUGUAAAAUGGUAAUGUCUUUAUCUCCCUCCCCAGGGAUAUCGUGUGAGGUUAAAGUGUAACAACAUAUAUGGAAGCAUAAUGUCUUUGGAACAUAAUAGGCGUUUAAUAAAUGCUCAUGGAACCUGA
Non-coding RNA from Delphinapterus leucas (beluga whale), 1814 nucleotides. The record is from RefSeq and is a predicted model, not a curated record. NCBI's taxonomy places the organism in Eukaryota, Metazoa, Chordata, Mammalia, Artiodactyla, Monodontidae.